CGUCUUCAGGGCGGGGUGCAAGUCCCCACCGGCGGUCAAAGUCCGCGAGCGCAAGCUGAACCGGUGUGAUUCCGGUACCGACAGUUACAGUCUGGAUGGAAGAAGACG
RNAcentral lists this non-coding RNA (108 nucleotides) under bovine gut metagenome. Its description in RNAcentral is "FMN riboswitch (RFN element)". It matches the Rfam family "FMN riboswitch aptamer (RFN element)". Rfam says of the family: The RFN element is a highly conserved domain that is found frequently in the 5'-untranslated regions of prokaryotic mRNAs that encode for flavin mononucleotide (FMN) biosynthesis and transport proteins. The record is from RNAcentral.